This 322-nucleotide ribosomal RNA is filed under the name uncultured eukaryote. RNAcentral's name for it is "partial 18S ribosomal RNA". It matches the Rfam family "Eukaryotic small subunit ribosomal RNA", at positions 1470 to 1796 of the family's 1831-position model. The record is from RNAcentral.
CCCUUAGAUGUUUUGGGCCGCACGCGCGCUACACUGAUGCAUUCAACGAGUUUUUCCUGGUCCGAGAGGAAUGGGUAACCUUUUGAAAGUGCAUCGUGCUAGGGAUAGACUAUUGCAAUUAUUGGUCUUCAACGAGGAAUUCCUAGUAGACGUAGUUCAUCGGACUGCAUCGAUUACGUCCCUGCCCUUUGUACACACCGCCCGUCGCUCCUACCGAUUGGAUGAUCCGGUGAGCUAUUCGGACCUUCGCUUCGUCGAUUUUCGGCUUUGUGAGGGAAAGUCUCGCGAACCUUAUCAUCUAGAGGAAGGAGAAGUCGUAACA